AACGAACGCUGGCGGCAGGCUUAACACAUGCAAGUCGAACGCCCCGCAAGGGGAGUGGCAGAUGGGUGAGUAACGCGUGGGAAUCUACCCAUCCCUACGGAAUAACGCAUGGAAACGUGUGCUAAUACCGUAUACGCCCUACGGGGGAAAGAUUUAUCGGGGAUGGAUGAGCCCGCGUUGGAUUAGCUAGUUGGUGGGGUAAAGGCCUACCAAGGCGACGAUCCAUAGCUGGUCUGAGAGGAUGAUCAGCCACAUUGGGACUGAGACACGGCCCAAACUCCUACGGGAGGCAGCAGUGGGGAAUAUUGGACAAUGGGCGCAAGCCUGAUCCAGCCAUGCCGCGUGAGUGAUGAAGGCCUUAGGGUUGUAAAGCUCUUUCACCGGAGAAGAUAAUGACGGUAUCCGGAGAAGAAGCCCCGGCUAACUUCGUG
RNAcentral lists this ribosomal RNA (431 nucleotides) under uncultured bacterium. RNAcentral's name for it is "partial 16S ribosomal RNA". It matches the Rfam family "Bacterial small subunit ribosomal RNA", at positions 29 to 507 of the family's 1533-position model. The record is from RNAcentral.